GGGACAGUAGCCAGCCUGAGUCAGGCCU
Molecule: non-coding RNA, 28 nt
Filed under: Cricetulus griseus (Chinese hamster)
Lineage: Eukaryota; Metazoa; Chordata; Mammalia; Rodentia; Cricetidae
Source: RNAcentral